Bufo bufo (common toad) is the source of this 157-nucleotide long non-coding RNA. RefSeq lists it as uncharacterized. NCBI's taxonomy places the organism in Eukaryota, Metazoa, Chordata, Amphibia, Anura, Bufonidae. The record is from RefSeq and is a predicted model, not a curated record. The transcript is spliced from 3 exons.
GGGAACAUACUUCAGUCUGGCCUAGGGUUGAGCGGUAAACUGGUGUCCACGAUAUACCGCGGUAUUAAGAAACGGCAUUAUCCCCGUUUCCAAAUAACCGCGGUAUUUGGUGACGUCAUAGGAGCGGUCAUAUGCGUGCUGACCGCUCCUAAAUCUG